This 1041-nucleotide long non-coding RNA is filed under the name Olea europaea subsp. europaea. The record is from RNAcentral. Lineage: Eukaryota; Viridiplantae; Streptophyta; Magnoliopsida; Lamiales; Oleaceae.
CCUCAAUAAGUGUAAUCUAAAACCUGCACGACACGAAAGUGAUGUAGCGUUGGUUUUACAAUUCAAAUUUAUUAUUGGCCACCCCUAUCUGUCUAGUGCUAUUAAGUGAUCAAUAAACUGCUGCAAUUCUUGAGCUGCAUAAUGAGCCAACAGUUAUGAUAUAAAAGACAGCUUUUGGGUCCUCAUAAGUGUAACAUCUCGCGGUAAGUUUCUUCUGUUUCAUCACAUUUGAGGACAUUUGAAGUCAACUUUUUCUUCUACAAGAAUGUCGAAAGUCGUUAUAUCUUCUACUCUAUUCAAUCGAUUGCUAGAUCUAUCGUAAGUUUCAAAAUUACUACAUGUUUCUCUCUGCGUCAUUUUUAAUAAAAAUAGUAGGGAUACAUAUCAAACCGACGAUUAGGCAAUUUGAAUUAACAUUAUAUUAUGUCUCGGGCAUUUGAGAUAUCAAAAUUUCUUGAAUACCAACAAUUUUUAUUAAAGAAUUCUGUCUUGAUUAUUGGCAAAAUGAAUUAUUAGACAUGGAUUAGUCAAAGGAAGAUAAGCUGUUCUUGUUCUGACCCUUAUUACAGAGAUCAUAAUAACAUGGAAGGAGUCCUAGGCAUGUGAGCACAUGAAACUAUUUUCAUGCCAUGUGAUGAGACUGUAUUUCCCAACCAAAUCAAGAACAUGUAUGUAUAGGAUUUGUGAGUUCACAGAAGUACCCUUUGGAAAGUUCAGAUUUUUGUUGGUAAAUUUUGUUAUUUCUGAAAUUUGGGUAUGGGGUUUUUUGUCAUUAUGUAAUACAAGUUGUAGUUAAUCAUGCCUAGUUCUUGAAAAGCUUGGAUUAAGAUUUGGAGAGCUAAUGUAUGUUAAAGACAGCUAAUCAACAUUGGGUAAAUCUUUUUGAAUGUUGUGUAUGUACUGUCAUAAUUAUUAUUGUUGUUAUUAAUUAAGCACACUAGAUUACAAAGACUAGGUGACUCUAUCCAUACUUAUGAUUUUAUCUUUUUUUUUGAAAAAAAAUAAAAAUAAAUAUUAGAAUUGGUAAAGAUUCAACGUUAG